GACGAACGCUGGCGGCGUGCUUAACACAUGCAAGUCGAACGGUAAGGCCCUUCGGGGUACACGAGUGGCGAACGGGUGAGUAACACGUGGGUGAUCUACCCUGCACUUCGGGAUAAGCCUGGGAAACUGGGUCUAAUACCGGAUAGGACCACUGCCUGCAUGGGUGGUGGUGGAAAGCUUUUGCGGUGUGGGAUGGGCCCGCGGCCUAUCAGCUUGUUGGUGGGGUGAUGGCCUACCAAGGCGACGACGGGUAGCCGGCCUGAGAGGGUGACCGGCCACACUGGGACUGAGAUACGGCCCAGACUCCUACGGGAGGCAGCAGUGGGGAAUAUUGCACAAUGGGCGCAGGCCUGAUGCAGCGACGCCGCGUGAGGGAUGACGGCCUUCGGGUUGUAAACCUCUUUCAGCACCGACGAAGCGCAAGUGACGGUAGGUGCAGAAGAAGGACCGGCCAACUACGUGCCAGCAGCCGCCGUAA
RNAcentral lists this ribosomal RNA (478 nucleotides) under uncultured bacterium. RNAcentral describes it as "partial 16S ribosomal RNA". It matches the Rfam family "Bacterial small subunit ribosomal RNA", at positions 28 to 523 of the family's 1533-position model. The record is from RNAcentral.